RNAcentral lists this long non-coding RNA (318 nucleotides) under Equus caballus (horse). RNAcentral describes it as "lncRNA (ENSECAG00000053106.1)". Lineage: Eukaryota; Metazoa; Chordata; Mammalia; Perissodactyla; Equidae. The record is from RNAcentral.
AUUCUCUACCAACUUCCUGAACCUUUCUGUUAUUUUACUGGGGCAAAAUCCAGUCCUUUCCUCCCUGAUUAAUCAGUGUUGUUUGCUGUUAAAUAUUGGCCGUGGUAUAUUUCAAAGCUGAUUCAUUGAUACUCUAAAAUGAAAAGUCCUAGUCACUCUUUCGAAAAGCAAUUUAGCAAUGCAAGGAAUCCUCAUCCUUUCUCCAAAUUCUACUGUUAAUGAAGGAACAAGAAAUGAAGCACCAUGGAAAUCAAGCAGAGGGCAUUCAAGUGGGACUUUCAUUCUUUCAGAAAUAGUUGAGCUAAAUCAAAGUUGCCU